AUGAUGGAAGGGCCAUGGUUUCCGAGUAGGAGCAUUCAGAUCCCGGUGCCGAACUUGUGGACGUUCAAUCAGAUCUUCACUCAGCUGCUCAGCAGAGCAAACAGGGGAGCAAGUGCUGAGAAAACUGAAGUCCAGGAAAAUCAACGGCCAACUUCAAAGUCAACAGCAAGAUGUAGAGACAAAUCUAGAGGCCCAAGGACAAUGCCACCCUGCUGGGACUUCACUGGGUGUCAGCAGCCUUGGUCAGGGGUCCUCGCCUGCUUUGAAGAAUGCUACAUAGAAGGGAGCAGAGGAGAAAUGGACAAACUGAAAGAUGAAGACUUUGGAAGUGGGGCAAUCUUCAUGAUGGGUCUGGGUUCUAUGCAUCUCUGGGCAAAGGGCAGAGCUGGUCAGAGUCCUAUUGCAUGUAAGGGGGCAGGCCCAGCUCAUUGGGUCAGCUCAUUUGCUUCUGUCCACAAUCCACCUUCCCCUAAGGCCAGCCAUGCCCGUUGGCCACUUCGUUUGAGGAUGACUGAGCAGGCUGCAGGAUCUGAGAUGUGGGGAGUCCUGCAUCCCAACUAAUGCCAGGACACCCCUGUGACACCCUGCCCUUACUCACCCCGCCUGGUGAGCUGCUUAGCCAGCGAGGUAGACCUGGCCCAGGAGGAGGAGGAGGACCAGACUGAGCUCAGUUGCUGAUGUUGGCAACGCUGCCAGCCCAGGCAGAGUGAUGGCCAUCACCCUGAGCCAGGCCAUGUGGAGGGGCAGAAAGAAUCUGAAGAUGUCCACCUUGUGCCUGGAGUCUGGGACAGUGGCCCACACUCCAAUGCUCCAAGAGGCACUCACUUGGGCCAUGAGCACAGCGUUGCCCAUGUGGAACAUUUCCGUGCUGAUGAUCUCACGGUAAGUGAUGACAGACACUAGGAAAAUCAUCACUACACAGAGCUAGGGCCAGCAGGGAGCGCUAUCAGAGCUGGAAGGCAGGUCCACCAGGGCCCCAGCCCACCCUGGAGGGGACCAUCCUUCCAGAGCAAGGACCCAAUAUCCCCUCAUCAUAAGCAUGGAUGCAGAGCUGGUGAGUUGGCCAGGAAGA
Bos indicus x Bos taurus (hybrid cattle) is the source of this 1072-nucleotide long non-coding RNA. The record is from Ensembl. Lineage: Eukaryota; Metazoa; Chordata; Mammalia; Artiodactyla; Bovidae.